CGAGGGGGGCAAGUGUUGUUCGGAAUCACUGGGCGUAAAGGGAGCGUAGGCGGAUGCUUAAGUUGGAUGUUUAAAACCGGGGCCCAACCUCGGAGCGGCAUCCAAAACUGGGCGUCUUGAAUGGAACAGAGGCUGGUGGAAUUGGGGGUGUAGCGGUGGAAUGCGUAGAGAUCCCCAAGAACACCAAUUGCGAAGGCAGCCAGCUGGGUUCACAUUGACGCUGAGGCUCGAAAGCAUGGGGAGCAAACAGGAUUAGAUACCCUGGUAGUCCAUGCCGUAAACGAUGAACACUAGGUUUUGGACUCGUCAACGGUCCGGAGCCGCAGCUAACGCGUUAAGUGUUCCGCCUGGGGAUACGGUCGCAAGACUG
RNAcentral lists this ribosomal RNA (370 nucleotides) under uncultured organism. RNAcentral describes it as "bacterial SSU rRNA". It matches the Rfam family "Bacterial small subunit ribosomal RNA", at positions 526 to 896 of the family's 1533-position model. The record is from RNAcentral.